GACACCCUUUUCACCUUGCCAAUUGGACAUAUGUCUUUAUUGGUCAUUCAAGUGGGACAAGGAGAUAUUCUUUUGAAACUCAAGCAAACUAGGUGUUUGUCUUGUAAGCUGUCAGAGGAAACAAAU
RNAcentral lists this small nucleolar RNA (126 nucleotides) under Vicugna pacos (alpaca). RNAcentral describes it as "Small nucleolar RNA SNORA27 (ENSVPAG00000016343.1)". It matches the Rfam family "Small nucleolar RNA SNORA27". From Rfam's summary of the family: ACA27 is a member of the H/ACA class of snoRNA that guide the sites of modification of uridines to pseudouridines. The record is from RNAcentral. Lineage: Eukaryota; Metazoa; Chordata; Mammalia; Artiodactyla; Camelidae.